This 585-nucleotide ribosomal RNA is filed under the name uncultured bacterium. Its description in RNAcentral is "partial 16S ribosomal RNA". It matches the Rfam family "Bacterial small subunit ribosomal RNA", at positions 355 to 1375 of the family's 1533-position model. The record is from RNAcentral.
UGGGGAAUUUUGGACAAUGGGCGAAAGCCUGAUCCAGCAAUGCCGCGUGUGUGAAGAAGGCCUUCGGGUUGUAAAGCACUUUUGUCCGGAAAGAAAUCCUUGGCUCUAAUACAGUCGGGGGAUGACGGUACCGGAAGAAUAAGCACCGGCUAACUACGUGCCAGCAGCCGCGGUAAUACGUAGGGUGCAAGCGUUAAUCGGAAUUACUGGGCGUAAAGCGUGCGCAGGCGGUUUGCUAAGACCGAUGUGAAAUCCCCGGGCUCAACCUGGGAACUGCGUUGGUGACUGGCAGGCUAGAGUAUGGCAGAGGGGGGUAGAAUUCCACGUGUAGCAGUGAAAUGCGUAGAGAUGUGGAGGAAUACCGAUGGCGAAGGCAGCCCCCUGGGCCAAUACUGACGCUCAUGCACGAAAGCGUGGGGAGCAAACAGGAUUAGAUACCCUGGUAGUCCACGCCCUAAACGAUGUCAACUAGUUGUUGGGGAUUCAUUUCCUUAGUAACGUAGCUAACGCGUGAAGUUGACCGCCUGGGGAGUACGGUCGCAAGAUUAAAACUCAAAUGAAUUGACGGGGUCAUAGCUGUUUCCU